GUGCUCGUCUGGGCAGCACAUAGACUAAAAUUGGAACCACACAGAGAUUAGUAUGGCCCUCCUGUAAGAAUGACAUGCAAAUCAGUGAAGCAGUCCAUAUGUUU
Pipistrellus kuhlii (Kuhl's pipistrelle) is the source of this 104-nucleotide small nuclear RNA. The record is from RefSeq and is a predicted model, not a curated record. Lineage: Eukaryota; Metazoa; Chordata; Mammalia; Chiroptera; Vespertilionidae.